GGCAGUUCUUGGGUUAUGCACCCCAGAAUCAGGCUCCCUCCUCUCUGGUUCCCUGUGUGUCACCGGAGAACUGCA
Molecule: non-coding RNA, 75 nt
Organism: Myotis lucifugus (little brown bat)
Lineage: Eukaryota; Metazoa; Chordata; Mammalia; Chiroptera; Vespertilionidae
Source: Rfam